Molecule: small nucleolar RNA, 75 nt
Organism: Choloepus didactylus (southern two-toed sloth)
Lineage: Eukaryota; Metazoa; Chordata; Mammalia; Pilosa; Megalonychidae
Product: small nucleolar RNA SNORD26
Exons: 1
Source: RefSeq, a predicted model, not a curated record
CUACAGGGAUGACAUUAAGAACUGAACUCUCUCUUUCUGAUGGAUUAGUGGAGAAGACUUAACAUUCUGAGUAGC